AGUGUCCAGGGAUGGGAAUCGAACCCACAGUUUUCCGCUUACCGGGCAGAUGCCAUGUCCACUAGAAUAUGUCCAC
RNAcentral lists this transfer RNA (76 nucleotides) under Cordylochernes scorpioides. Its description in RNAcentral is "tRNA-Thr". The record is from RNAcentral. Lineage: Eukaryota; Metazoa; Arthropoda; Arachnida; Pseudoscorpiones; Chernetidae.